Molecule: long non-coding RNA, 5106 nt
Filed under: Canis lupus familiaris (dog)
Lineage: Eukaryota; Metazoa; Chordata; Mammalia; Carnivora; Canidae
Description: lncRNA (ENSCAFG00000052628.1)
Source: RNAcentral
ACUUUAGCACUGAGUGACAUUUGUAAUUCCUGUACCAAAGAGUGAAUUUUUUUUUCUUAAUUUUUGGUUGAUGGAGACUUGUGAACAGUGUUCCUAACAACAAUUUUGAUGAUCACAUCUUAGAUUUUGCACACUGCCUCAGUUUAAUUGGUUUUAAAUGUCUCUCAUUUGGAAUUUUUUUUGUAGUUAGGCAUAUGACUAUGGUUUUUCAUUUCUGUAUUUUAAUAUAGAUUGGCUACUUUAAAAGAUAGUUUAAUGGGCUGAGGUUAGAAAAGAUAAUUGAACACUUUUCACAAGAUUUUUUUAUGUUGUUUUUAUUUCUACAGGAGUAAGUGAAAAAAUAAUAAGAACUCUCCUUUUAUUUCUAUACAUGAGCUAUACAGUUUAUUGAGCCCUUUAAAUGAAUGCUGAAACAAUAUGCUAAAAUGAAAAGUGAAGGGCCCAUUCUGAUUAUGAGAAUCCUGCAUCUGUGUCUGUGUGGGGGUGGAGGUGUACCUAACCCUUAGUGGCACUAAAGAAUGAUGUUGCCAUUUAUGUAUUUUGCAAAUAAAGAUACAAUUAAAGAACACCUUAAGAAAUUUAUGUGUACACACAUUUGCGCAUGCACGCGCAUACACACACACUUUCCUAAGAGGAAAUGCAGAUUGAUGUACCUUGAUUUAAGCAAAACAAUUAAUAGAAAAUUGAACUUCACCAAAACACACACAAAAAAAAGAGGUCUGGAUGUUAUUUAUUUUACAUAAAAAGUUAGAGUAAGAUUAUUUUGAAAACCAGUUCUGUUUAAUGGUUCAUUUUACAAAAAAUGUGAGAAAAUACCCUUUAGAAAUAUUUGUAAUUGUCCAAAUGUUGUACUGCUAUGUACACUAAUCUGGUUCCUUAUUUUUUUCCCACAAAUUUUCAGGACACUUGUUUAGUGUCUUUAAAACUGCAACUGAAAUGGUAAGAUUUCUGGCAAGAAGACAAUUGUUGGUGUAUUGGAAAAGUAGACAAUCACAUUUGAGAAUAUUUUGCAUUAUUUUCAAUCAACUGAAACUCUCUCCUUGAAUGUAGAUACAAUAUAUGGUUUUGCAGUGAUUUCUGAAUGGAAAAAAAGGAUCAAGUCUGAAACUGAAAUGAAAUAUAACUUAGGAUCAUUCUAAUAUACGUAGAAAUACAUAUGUACAUGUCAUUAGAGGUUAAAGGAAAAUUUGUAAGCAAAAUGGGAAGAACCAAUAGUCUCUCUCUAAUUGUCAAUAAUAUAUUUCCUAGAUUCUGUUGCUACAAUAUUGGUUCUGAGCUUUUUUUGACUUGUUUAUGUAUUAUUUCAAUUAAUGUGGUUGAAUGCAGUUACUUGUUCAAGUUUUUGUUAGUGGAUAGUUCGCCACAAUUUGUUGUCCAGAGAUGAAUAUUAAAAAGAAGUUUUACUUUACCAUAGGUAGAAUGGAGCAGCUAAGAUGUUAUGAUAGGAAGAAUCUCCUGUACUAUCAGAGAUACUCAGAUAAAUGGGUUGUAAGGCUAACAUGAUGGGGGCAGGGUGGGGUGGGCGGGCGGCAGGAUAAGCUUUGGGAGGCUUGAGCACUGAUGACCAUGUUUGUAUGAGCUGUGUGUCCCCAGAGUAGGCUUUUAAAAAAUCUGACUGGCAAGUUUAAUGAAUGGGCAAAAUCUGUGAUAUUUGGGGACUUGUGUCAACCUCUAAUUGUCUGUAGUGUUCUAUCCCUAAGAUAAAACACCUUUUAAUGGUGGUGUGUUCCAAGUGCCAUAGAAAGAUCCUGCUUUUAAAAAUGUCAGGUGUUUUUUUCAUUCAGUGAAUAUGUUUAAAUCUGAGGACUGUUCUGCUGCUGCAUUGUCUGUUUUACCUUGUCUGAUCCCUCAAGAGCAUUUAAAGAAAAUCUUCACUAACAUUUCUAGUGCUAAUGGUAAAAAAGAAAAUAGCAGUUGAAAGAUUCAAGACUAGGUUGAAAAUAGGGAAGAUUAUGACAAGCAGGAGCUGUGUAUCUGAGAUGUACUUGUUUAAAUGAAAAGUCUCCACUGGUUCUUAAAAUGAAAAACCAUGUAUCUACCUUAAGAACAAUGUCUUUUUUUAAAAAUAAUUUUAGCAAUUUAGUUUUUAUUCAUGUAAUAUUUCUGUUUUUCUUUACAGAUUGUUUUUAAUUUAAAUUGUGGAAUUUUUACUUCUCUUGAAAUGUAUUAUGUACUGUAUUUUUAGAAAUCUUAUUUUUAAAUAAAUAUUUUUUAAAAAUAUAGAACUGUUUUCCUCACCCACCUCUUUAUUAAAAUCAACCCAAAUUCUAGAUUCCAGCACCAAGUGUGUAUGAUAGGCCUUUUUUUUUUUUUUUAGUUUUAUGCAAUUUGGACGAUUAUUGAUAAUUAGUUGCCUUUUUAGGAUAUUGUUCUACCAUAAUCUCAAAAUUCAUUACACAUCAAGAAGAGCUAGGUAUGCAUCCUAGGUUGAAAUUGACAAACACAAUAUUCACAGUCAUUUUUUGUGUUAGAGAUGACCCAAAUGGCUAGAUUCAGUCACCCAAUUUAUUUACCACUUGUUGUGCCAGACACUAUUUUAUAGAAAUAUUUUUUCUUUGAGGAAUAAUUGACAUAUAAUGCAGAAAGCUUAAGUGUACAUCUAGGCAUUUUAGAGCCAGGGUUAUUAAAUUACUUAACACCUUUGUUCCCAUGGGGUUGUAGUCUCAUGGUUUCUAGAUAGUUUUUUAUUGAGAAAUUUCCAAAGUCUCAACUAACUACUUCCACGUAAAACUCACAAAGGAGAAGUGAAGUGUAUAUUAAUGAAUAUAGAUUGGUCAAAAAUACCAUGUGAGAAGACCAAUCAGUUUGUCUUAGAAACAGUGAAGGAAUAUACGCUGCCCUGAGAUGGAAAGAUACAGGCUUAACUUUAUUUAAAAUUCUUAAGUUUUUAUUAUCAGAAAGGUUAUGUUGAUAAAUAUUCUGGAUUUACACUUAAAUGACACGGUGGAAUUGCAAAUAAAACUACAAACUUUGAAGGCAAAUAUUGUUGCAUUCCGACAAACCAAAGAUUCUAAACUGUAAUCUUGUUUCUUUUUCAGUUUCUUUUGUUCUGAUUCUAAGCAACAUUUACAAUACUUGUGCUUCCUUGGUGAUGCUAAAUUACAAUGAUUUUAUAUCUUUUUGGUCAGAGGACUCCUUUAAACUCAUAAGACUUACUGCAGACCUCAAAGAGUUUUUGUUUUUGCAGGUCGUCUUAAUCACUAUUGACUAUUAUUAAAAAUUAAAACAAAGAAGUAUUUUAAAUGCUUAUUUAUUCAUUGGAAUAGCAAUAAUAAACUCAUUGCAUGUUAACAUAAGUGAUUAUUAUUUAGAGACUUGAAUUUAUAUAUUUUUUUCAAAGCUCUAGUAUCUGCCUUUCUAAAAAAUUUCACAUCUCCUCUGUUUCUGCAUUUAAUCUGUUGUAUUGUUAUUUUGUUUGAAGUAUCUAGAGAAAUCUGGUCUCAUGCAAAUAGUGUAGUUGUGAAAAGGUGAACAUUUUAAUAGUCUCUUCAAAUGGCUAUGCAUAUUCUUUGAUGCUACACAACAACUCAUUAAGUGAUGGUUUCUUGAAACUUUACUUGCAAUGUGGAACCGGAAAUAAAAUGAAGAAACUUAAGUUUUUAAUUCCAUUUAGUAAACAUACAGUGUUUUAUUAGCUUCAGGUGUACAAUACAGUGAUUCAGCAGUUCUGUACAUCACCCAGUGUUCAUCACAAGUGCACUCCUUAAUUCCCAUCACCUAUUUCACCCACCUACCUCUCCUCUGGUAACCAUUUGUUUGUUCUCUAUAGUUGAGUCUAAGUCUGUUUCUUGGUUUCUCUCUUUUUUCAUUUGCUCAUUGGUUACUUAAAUUCCACACAUGAAUGAAAUCAUAUGAUACUUGUCUUUUCUGACUUAUUUCACAUAGCAUUCAUUAUACUGUCUAGCUCUAUCCGUGUCAUCACAAAUGGCAAGAUUUCAUUCUUUUUAUAGCUGAAUAAUCCGUUGUAUAUAUGCCACCUCUUCUUUAUCCAUUCAUCAGUUGGUGAAUACUUAGGCUUCCAUAUCUUGGCUUUUGCAGAUAAUGCUGCUAUAAACAUAGGGGUGCAUUUAUCCCUUUGAGUUGGUGUUUUCGUAUUCUUUGAGUAAAUACCCAGUAGUUUGAUUAUUGGAUCACAAUGUAGUUCUAUUUUUAACUGUUCCACAGUGCCUGCACCAGUUUACAUUCCCAUCAACAGUGCAAGAUAAUUCCUUUUUCUCCAUAUCCUCCCCACACCUGUUGUUUCUUGUGUUGUUGAUUUUAGCCAUUCUGACAGAUAUGAAGUGAUAUCUUAUUGUAGUUUUGAUUUGCAUUUCCCUGAUAAUUGAUGGUGAACAUCUUUUCUCAUCUGUUGGCCAUCUGUAUGUCGUUUUUGGAGAAAUUUCUGUUCAUGUCUUCUUCUCAUUUCUUAAGUGGAUUAUUUGUUUCUUGAGUUUUGUAAGUUCUUUAUAUAUUUUGGAUACUAACCCUUUAUCAGAUAUGUCAUUAGCAAAAAUCUUCUCCCAUUCCAUAGGCUGCCUUUUAGUUUUGUUGAUUGUUUUCAUCAUUGUGCAGAAGCUUUUUAUUUUGAUGAAGUCUAAAUAGUUCAUUUUUGCCUGUGAUUUCCUUGCUCAAGAGACAUAUCUAGAAAAAUGUUGCAUGGCCAGUGUUAGAGAAGUUACUGUCUAUGUUCUUUUCUAGAGUUUUUGUAUUAUCAGGGCUCACAUUUAGGUCUUUAGUCCAUUUUGAAUUUAUUUUUGUGUAUAGUGUAAGCAAGUGGUCCAGUUUCAUUCUUAUGCAUUUUGCUGUCCACUUUUCCCAACAUCAUUUGUUAAAGAGACUGCUUUUUCCCCAUGGGAUAUUCUUUUCUGCUUUGUCAAAGAUUAAUUGACCAUAUAAUUGUAGGCUUAUUUCUGAGUUUUCUAAUCUGGUCUAUUGAUCUAUAUGUCUAUUUCUGUACCAUUACCAUACUGUUUUGAUUACCACAGCUUUGAAAUAUAACUUGAAGUCUGGAAUGGCGAUGCCUAUAGCUUUGCCUUUCUUUUUCAAGACUGCUUUGGCUAUUUGGGAUCUUUUUUGGUUCCAUGCAAAUUGUAGGGUUGUUUGGUAUAGUUCUGUAAAAAAAAAAAA